UGAUGAUUCUGGAGCUCAUGGUGGUUGGU
RNAcentral lists this non-coding RNA (29 nucleotides) under Rattus norvegicus (Norway rat). Lineage: Eukaryota; Metazoa; Chordata; Mammalia; Rodentia; Muridae. The record is from RNAcentral.